Apodemus sylvaticus (European woodmouse) is the source of this 542-nucleotide long non-coding RNA. RefSeq lists it as uncharacterized. The transcript is spliced from 3 exons. The record is from RefSeq and is a predicted model, not a curated record. Lineage: Eukaryota; Metazoa; Chordata; Mammalia; Rodentia; Muridae.
GGCGGGCCCACGGCAAAUCGCUGCCCGGCCCUCCGUGCGUCAGGCUGGGGGGCGGCGGCGCGGGUGGCCCGGCCACCUCCCGGCACCCGCGGCCCGGCCCCGUCCGUGCGACCUCGCGUGCGCCCGUGGCGGCGCGGAGACCCCGCCCGGCGCGGAAGGGGGCGGGGCGCCUGGGAUUGACGUCCUGUGGUCCCCACCCGGCAGAGCCAGACCGCGUGGGUGGUGGAAGGUCCCUGUGCCAGCUCGGUGGAACUGAACUGGGUGUCUCUAUGAACUCAGACGGCAGAUAAUGGUAUUGGUAGAAACAUAACCCGGUUUAAAUUGCUUCUUCCCACAUGUCAGUCUUUCCAGCUGCCCUGGAGAGGUGCGGAGCAGUGUGGCCAGCAGCUGAAUGGCAGCCCACAGGAAGUUCCAUGGCUUGGAGUGAAGUCGCAGGAAGCGCCCUCAAUACAGAAGCAAAGAAUUGAUUUGGUUGGUUGGAUAAAGUGGAAAAUGGAAAGAAUUGCCUUUUGUAUUAAUCUAACUUUCCCUCUCCGUCUGAA